GUGCUCACUUUGGCAGCACAUAUACUAAAAUCAGAACGAUACACAGAAGAUUAGCACGGCCCCUGCGCAAGGAUGACAUGCAAAUUCAUGAAGCAUUCCAUAUUUAA
RNAcentral lists this small nuclear RNA (107 nucleotides) under Castor canadensis (American beaver). The record is from RNAcentral. Lineage: Eukaryota; Metazoa; Chordata; Mammalia; Rodentia; Castoridae.